This 460-nucleotide ribosomal RNA is filed under the name uncultured bacterium. Its description in RNAcentral is "partial 16S ribosomal RNA". It matches the Rfam family "Bacterial small subunit ribosomal RNA", at positions 338 to 795 of the family's 1533-position model. The record is from RNAcentral.
CCUACGGGUGGCAGCAGUGAGGAAUAUUGGUCAAUGGCCGUAAGCCUGAACCAGCCAAGUCGCGUGAAGGAAGAAGGCCCUAUGGUUUGUAAACUUCUUUUACAGGGGAAUAAAGGUAUCCACGUGUGGAUAUUUGCAUGUACCCUAUGAAUAAGCAUAGGCUAACUCCGUGCCAGCAGCCGCGGUAAUACGGAGGAUGCGAGCGUUAACCGGAUUUAUUGGGUUUAAAGGGUGGGUAGGUUGGUUUUUAAGUUAGCGGUGAAAGUUUGUGGCUCAACCAUACAAUUGCCGUUGAAACUGGAAGCCUUGAGUGUGUUAGAGGUAGGCGGAAUGCGUGGUGUAGCGGUGAAAUGCAUAGAUAUCACGCAGAACUCCGAUUGCGAAGGCAGCCUACUGGGCCAUUACUGACGCUGAGGCACGAAAGCGUGGGGAUCGAACAGGAUUAGAUACCCCAGUAGUC